RNAcentral lists this ribosomal RNA (401 nucleotides) under uncultured bacterium. RNAcentral's name for it is "bacterial SSU rRNA". It matches the Rfam family "Bacterial small subunit ribosomal RNA", at positions 355 to 774 of the family's 1533-position model. The record is from RNAcentral. RNAcentral also lists the same sequence under 1 other name.
UGGGGAAUAUUGCACAAUGGGCGAAAGCCUGAUGCAGCAACGCCGCGUGAGCGAUGAAGGCCUUCGGGUCGUAAAGCUCUGUCCUAUGGGAAGAUAAUGACGGUACCAUAGGAGGAAGCCCCGGCUAACUACGUGCCAGCAGCCGCGGUAAUACGUAGGGGGCAAGCGUUAUCCGGAAUUACUGGGCGUAAAGGGUGCGUAGGCGGUUUAUCAAGUCAGGGGUGAAAGGCUACGGCUCAACCGUAGUGAGCCUCUGAAACUGGUGAACUUGAGUGUAGGAGAGGAAAGUGGAAUUCCCAGUGUAGCGGUGAAAUGCGUAGAUAUUGGGAGGAACACCAGUGGCGAAGGCGACUUUCUGGACUACAACUGACGCUGAGGCACGAAAGCGUGGGGAGCAAACA